Long non-coding RNA from Populus euphratica (Euphrates poplar), 94 nucleotides. RefSeq lists it as uncharacterized. The record is from RefSeq and is a predicted model, not a curated record. The transcript has 3 exons. NCBI's taxonomy places the organism in Eukaryota, Viridiplantae, Streptophyta, Magnoliopsida, Malpighiales, Salicaceae.
GAUGGAAUGUAUCCAUUGGUAAUUAUCAUCGUAAUUUACUAACAGAAUUAUUCUUUCUGUAAUUUCAUUGAUUUUAGGUGAAUUUCUGCUACUG